Molecule: unclassified non-coding RNA, 412 nt
Filed under: Hevea brasiliensis (rubber tree)
Lineage: Eukaryota; Viridiplantae; Streptophyta; Magnoliopsida; Malpighiales; Euphorbiaceae
Source: RNAcentral
CAGAGAGGCAUAGAGUGGAACAGCAGUUGUUCGGUAGCGAAAUUAGGAAUAUUGUAGCGGUAGGUGGGCCCAAGAGGACGGGGGAAGUACCCGUAGAGAGAUGGGGCGAUGAAUUGAAACGAAUCGGGUUUUUACCCGUUUCAUUAUCGGGUACUCCAGCUGCUCAAGCAAGUUUAUUAUUAGGGAUGUUUCCGAGAGGGUAUACGUUGGUGGAAGAAAAUGGGUGUUUAAAAUUGGGAUGGAAGGAUUUAUCGUUGUUGACUGCAUCUGCAUGGCAACCUUGCGAUUAAGAUAGCCCAUUUUUUUGGUUGUUGUUUCAAUUUGUAAGUUUUGGAUGAUGUUACAAAUACCAUAACAAAUUGGACAUACUAAUAAGUGAAAGUGCUCUUUGUUCACUCUGGUCCUAAUUCUG